GCAGUCGACGCUUCUUUUUCCACCGGAGCUUGCUCCACCGGAAAAAGAGGAGUGGCGAAGGCGGGUGAGUAACACGUGGGUAACGCUGCCCAUCAGAAGGGUGGAUAACACUUGGAAACAGGUGCUAAUACCGUAUAACAAUCGAAACCGCAUGGUUUUGAUUUGAAAGGCGCUUUCGGGUGUCGCUGAUGGAGUGGACCCGCGGUGCAUUCCAGCUAGUUGGUGAGGUAACGGCUCACCAAGGCGACGAUGCAUACGCCGACCUGAGAGGGUGAUCGGCCACAUUGUUUGGACUGAGACACGGCCCAAACUCCUACGGGAUCUUGGCAGCAGUAGGGAAUCUUCGGCAAUGGACGAAAGUCUGACCGAGCAACGCCGCAGGUGAGUGAAGAAGGUUUUCGGAUCGUAAAACUCUGUUGUUAGAGAAGAACAAGGAUGAGAGUAACUGUUAUCAUCCCUUGACGGUAUCUAACCAGAAAGCCACGGCUAACUACGUGCCAGCAGCCGCGGUAAUACGUAGGUGGCAAGCGUUGUCCGGAUUUAUUGGGCGUAAAGCGAGCGCAGGCGGUUUCUUAAGUCUGAUGUGAAAGCCCCCGGCUCAACCGGGGAGGGUCAUUGGAAACUGGGAGACUUGAGUGCAGAAGAGGAGAGUGAAUUCCAUGUGUAGCGGUGAAAUGCGUAGAUAUCAUGGAGGAACACGCAGUGGCGAAGGCGGCUCUCUGGUCUGUACACACUGACGCUGAGGCUACGAAAGCGUGGGAGACCCAAACAGGAUUAGAUACCCUGGUAGUC
Molecule: ribosomal RNA, 792 nt
Filed under: Enterococcus hirae
Lineage: Bacteria; Bacillati; Bacillota; Bacilli; Lactobacillales; Enterococcaceae
Description: bacterial SSU rRNA
Rfam family: Bacterial small subunit ribosomal RNA
Source: RNAcentral